ACGCUCGACACCUACGGGAGGAGCAGUGGGGAAUAUUGCACAAUGGGGGAAACCCUGAUGCAGCGACGCCGCGUGAGCGAAGAAGUAUUUCGGUAUGUAAAGCUCUAUCAGCAGGGAAGAAACUGACGGUACCUGACUAAGAAGCACCGGCUAAAUACGUGCCAGUAGCCGCGGUAAUCUGAGCGGGCUGGCAAGGC
Molecule: ribosomal RNA, 197 nt
Filed under: uncultured bacterium
Lineage: Bacteria
Description: partial 16S ribosomal RNA
Rfam family: Bacterial small subunit ribosomal RNA
Source: RNAcentral